Non-coding RNA from Myodes glareolus (Bank vole), 1392 nucleotides. The record is from RefSeq and is a predicted model, not a curated record. NCBI's taxonomy places the organism in Eukaryota, Metazoa, Chordata, Mammalia, Rodentia, Cricetidae.
UCACAGGACAGGAGAGUUUAAAAGAAGUCUGGUACAAUUAACAGAUUGUAUAUAUAUAUAUGUAUAUAUAUAUAUAUAUACAUAUAUAAUUUCACCCUUCCAGUGAGCCAACAACUACUCGAUUGUAUCAGCCAUCUUCUGAAGAUUCUGCCUAUUUAAAAUGUGGUGCUAAAAUGUUAAGAUUGCAGGCACACUGGUCUGGCUUCUGGAUACAAGAAGUCUGGAAACAAUUUUUGUGGUUCUUUUUGUGAUACUGGGGAUGCACUCAGCACCUUGCCUAGAAACAAGCUGGGCAGUGUGGUAAAUAUCUGUAAUUCCAACUACUCAGGAGGCUGAGACAAGAGGCCCACAAGCCCAGGAGCAGAAUGAAGUCAAGGCAACAAUAGGAAAACGGGUGUCAAAAGCAAAAGGAAAUUGCAUCCGCUGCUGAGGGCCACCUGCCACUGCACCCUCACCUGGAGACUGCUGUGAUCGGGAACUCCCUCACCCCUCAAGGCCUACUACUGCUGAAGCUACUGCCACUGAGGGGUGCUAGACAUGGUGAUGUUGUACCCAAGUCAUGGGACCUUCAAACAAGACCACCACAGAGCUAGUAUCCAAUGCAGACACACUGGGGUUUAUUGAUUACAAGUUAGCUAACUCAGACCAUAAUCCAACACACCUCCACAGCGGGUGGGGGAGAACGGCCCUGAGCUCUCAGGGAAAUGGGUUUUUUAUGGGGGAAAAAAAAACCCUGCAAGCAGAGUGCCACAAACCUUGGCAUUUGGGGAUUGGGUAAAAGUAUAUAACUUUUACAUUUGUUAGUUGGGAUAUAGGGGAACUUCAAAACAGUCAAAAUAGUGGUUAUCAGGUACCUACAAGGACUUUUGAAGGAAGCAGAUGUAAACAGAUGUUGUUUGGGUAUCCUGGUGGGCCGCUUUGACCAGGGCAGGCACAGUUUGGGGGGAAUGUUUAUGGCUUUGCUGGGCUGCAUUCACCCCCGCCCCCAGUUAGGGUCUGUCUAAUACGGAGUUCUUUCUCAAAAUGGAGCUUGUUCUGUUCCUUCAGGGACACAUUGGUGUGUGUUCUUUAAGACAUUCUUGUGCUCUGUGACACAGCUGUCACAAGGGGAACAGACCUCCUCCACCAUGUGGUCCUGCCAGCAUGACGUUACUGUGCUGCUGCAGGCCUAAAGCAGCCACACCCUGCAAUAAGACGCUUAAACACUUAAAUAUUUGAGGUUUAAGUCGGUUUCUUUGGGCUUUCUACCACACCCCCGGCUAACACGUGACAAGCCUCGAGAGGACAAAUCACCGUGUCUUUAUUACUCUGGUCCUUGGGGGGCAGAAGCACGGAGGACCCCGAUGAUCGCACCCUACUCACCAUCGCCUGGCCACUGCCUCUCUGUCUCCU